RNAcentral lists this long non-coding RNA (360 nucleotides) under Hordeum vulgare. RNAcentral's name for it is "long non-coding RNA (HVUL_LNC007404)". Lineage: Eukaryota; Viridiplantae; Streptophyta; Magnoliopsida; Poales; Poaceae. The record is from RNAcentral.
GAGGAGAGAUGGCUCUAGCUAACUAGUGGAGAGAGAGAGAGAUGACCUAGCUAGCUAGAUCUAUAUGUAUGGAAGGGGGAGUGGGGUGUGUGUGGGUUAAAGGGGAGAGGGGUGUGUGUAUGGAGAGAGUUAGAAGAGGCCAUUUAUGGAGGAUAAUUAGGUGGAGGUGCAUUAAUGGGGAGAGAAGAGAGGUAGAAGGAAGAGAGAAGAAGGGAAACAAUGGUGGGGAAGUAACUUAGAGAGAGGAGAGCACAAAGGAGGGGAGAGGGCCAAGGGGAGGAAGGGGGAGAGGGGGGUGUGCGGGUGAAACCUGCCCACAGCCACGCGUACGAGUAGCACUUUUUUCUAAAGCAGCGCUAC